Molecule: long non-coding RNA, 897 nt
Filed under: Marmota monax (woodchuck)
Lineage: Eukaryota; Metazoa; Chordata; Mammalia; Rodentia; Sciuridae
Source: RNAcentral
GGGGUGGGGGGUGGAAUUACGGGCGUGCAACACCGCACCUGCCGGACCUCCACGGCCCUCGCAAGUGACUUCAACCAAAAUGGCGCCAAUGUUAUGAACUCUAUUAAAUGGCCCUUCUCUGUAGAGGAGGGAAAUAAGCCUGGGAAAGGCUUCCAUGCAUCUUUUCAUGCAACUCCAACUUGGCCACAUUGCUUUAGUGCAUUGCUUGGGCAUUUCUCAUUUGAGGGGUCUUCAGCUCCUACUAUCAGUUUGUGUGACCUACCUGGGCGCCUUCAUUGCAUUUAGAUAUGAACCGGCUGAGAAAGGCCUGCAUUUUAUCUAGGCGACCUGACACCUUCCUCCAGCUACCCUCAGUUAACACCCAGUCUCCUCCCUGCCAGAGAUGACCAAGCACCAGGACAAUAUUUAGUAACUCAGCUUUGGCCAUGUGGAGAUUACAAUCUAAUGAGACCAACAAAUGGCAAAUAGCUAAACACAAGGUACUGGGCAACCCAGAGAACCACUGAGGGAUUUGGACUGUUUUCUUCUGAUUUGAGACUCGAAGGUCAACUAUGAAUUACGAACUGAAAAAAUGGAAAUAUAUGCCCCAAGUUGUGGGUAGUGGUUCCCUUAGGUGGUGAGGAGUGAAAGUAAAGCUCUGUCAGGGCAAAGCUCUUGCUUACUAUUACUGGGCUAUAGAUUUCAAUCUCAUACAGAUGCUCCUUGAUGCAUGAUGAGGUUGCAUCCCAAUAAACCCAUCAUAAGUUGAAAAUAUCAUAACUGAAAUGCAGUUAAUUCCCCUCACCCAUCAAACAUCAUACCUUGGCCCAACCUACAAUAAAUGUCUUCAAAACACAUUAGCCUGCAGUUGGGUAAAAUCAUCUAACACAGACAAUUUUAUAAUAAAGUGUUGGAUAU